AUACGGAAGGUCCGGGCGUUAUCCGGAUUUAUUGGGUUUAAAGGGAGCGCAGACGGGCUGUUAAGCGUGACGUGAAAUCCGGGGGCUCAACCUUCGGCUGCGUCGCGAACUGGCGGCCUUGAGUGGACGGUAGGCAGGCGGGAUUCGUGGGGUAGCGGUGAAAUGCUUAGAUAUCACGAAGAACCCCGAUUGCGAAGGCAGCUUGCCGCAGUCUUACUGACGUUCAUGCUCGAAGGUGCGGGUAUCGAACAGGAUUAGAUACCCUGGUAGUCCGCACGGUAAACGAUGGAUGCCCGCUGUUGGCGACACACUGUCAGCGGCCAAGCGAAAGCAUUAAGCAUCCCACCUGGGGAGUACGCCGGCAACGGUGAAACUCAAAGGAAUUGACGGGG
Molecule: ribosomal RNA, 392 nt
Filed under: uncultured bacterium
Lineage: Bacteria
Description: partial 16S ribosomal RNA
Rfam family: Bacterial small subunit ribosomal RNA
Source: RNAcentral